Molecule: long non-coding RNA, 955 nt
Organism: Drosophila elegans
Lineage: Eukaryota; Metazoa; Arthropoda; Insecta; Diptera; Drosophilidae
Exons: 3
Source: RefSeq, a predicted model, not a curated record
UUGUUUGGCGGUCGAAAAGUGUCAGAAUUUUUUGGUUGCUUAUUUGAAAACAUGCUGGCAGAGUAAACAUUAACCGUAAAAAAAAAAAAAAAAAAAAAAAAAUGAAAAAACAAUUAACAACAGGGCCGUUAAGAAAGCGUUGCCGCCUGGCUUUGGGGACCCCGGUGCAAUAAUUUCGCUUUGAUAACCCGACUGCGAGUGCAUCGUUAAUGGGUCGUUGGCAAUUAUGAGCCGUUCUGAUAGCGUUCGUUCGAUUUGCAACAAUACAUUCAUUUUCAGGCUAAAUUGUGCAUGCCAGAAAUUUGUUCGGUCAUCGCGGUUCAUUUGGCGCCUGAUUGCGAGCCCCUGAAAUUCAAUUGCGGCGAACACAAGCAUCUUGAUUUAUUCCGACUAUAAUGCAGGUUUAUUUAGGGUUUUGAAACGCAUAACUUGUUCUUGACUUUCUUUUCCAGAGCCUCCAUCUCGACCUAGUAAUUCUAUUUUUAACUGUUUAGGUAACUUUUUCACCUAUUUACGGAAUGUUUAAAAUAUAUUGUAUUUAAAUUUUAAUUAAGACAAUUCAUUAUAAAGGAACUUUGCAUAUGAUACUUUAAUGUUUAGUAUUUUUCUAAAGCAUUGCGAUUGAAGAUUUAGGUUAUUUAAAAAAAAAUAAGUUUAAAGACAAAAUGAAACUUCAAACAUUGUUUUGAUAUCAAUGUAAGUACUCGGUUGCAAAAUUAACAACUUCCACAGACAAAACACAAACUAAUAUAAAGGCAGAUACCUCCAAUCAAUCCGUUCUGAUUUUUAAAUGAGGCGGAAGUCCUUUAAACAAAUUCCACCGAAUGGACAUAGGCUAUCAAUCUUAAAAAACCAUUUUCUAUGUUAAAGGAUUUCUUUAACUUUGUUCAAUUUGUGAUUGCAAAAGCAACAAUUGCAGUUCACAACGUAUUUGUUUGAAUUUGCAGCUUAACUA